GACGAACGCUGGCGGCGUGCUUAACACAUGCAAGUCGAACGGAAAGGCUCCAGCUUGCUGGAGUACUCGAGUGGCGAACGGGUGAGUAACACGUGGGUAAUCUGCCCUGCACUCUGGGAUAAGCCUGGGAAACUGGGUCUAAUACUGGAUAUGACCUUUCUCCUUAUGGGGUUUGGUGGAAAGUUUUUCGGUGUAGGAUGAGCCCGCGGCCUAUCAGCUUGUUGGUGGGGUGAUGGCCUACCAAGGCGACGACGGGUAGCCGGCCUGAGAGGGUGAUCGGCCACAUUGGGACUGAGAUACGGCCCAGACUCCUACGGGAGGCAGCAGUGGGGAAUAUUGCACAAUGGGCGGAAGCCUGAUGCAGCGACGCCGCGUGAGGGAUGACGGCCUUCGGGUUGUAAACCUCUUUCAGCAGGGACGAAGCGUAAGUGACGGUACCUGCAGAAGAAGCACCGGCUAACUAUGUC
Molecule: ribosomal RNA, 467 nt
Filed under: uncultured bacterium
Lineage: Bacteria
Description: partial 16S ribosomal RNA
Rfam family: Bacterial small subunit ribosomal RNA
Source: RNAcentral